GAUGAACGCUGGCGGCGUGCCUAACACAUGUAAGUCGAACGGUGAACUUUGCUUUAUAGCGAGGGGAUCAGUGGCGAACGGGUGAGUAACACGUAGGUGACCUGCCCCAAAGAGGAGAACAACCAUGCGAAAGCGUGGCUAAUACUCUAUGUGGUCGGCCAUUCGUUUGGUCGAUUAAAGCUUCGGCGCUUUGGGAGGGGCUUGCGGCCCAUCAGCUAGUUGGUAGGGUAAUGGCCUACCAAGGCUAUGACGGGUAGGGGGCCUGAGAGGGUGACCCCCCACAUUGGCACUGACACACGGGCCAAACUCCUACGGGAGGCUG
Molecule: ribosomal RNA, 322 nt
Filed under: uncultured Chloroflexota bacterium
Lineage: Bacteria; Bacillati; Chloroflexota
Description: bacterial SSU rRNA
Rfam family: Bacterial small subunit ribosomal RNA
Source: RNAcentral